This 497-nucleotide ribosomal RNA is filed under the name uncultured bacterium. RNAcentral's name for it is "partial 16S ribosomal RNA". It matches the Rfam family "Bacterial small subunit ribosomal RNA", at positions 28 to 507 of the family's 1533-position model. The record is from RNAcentral.
GAUGAGCGCUGGCGGCGUGCCUAAUACAUGCAAGUCGAGCGAACGGACGAGAAGCUUGCUUCUCUGAUGUUAGCGGCGGACGGGUGAGUAACACGUGGAUAACCUACCUAUAAGACUGGGAUAACUUCGGGAAACCGGAGCUAAUACCGGAUAAUAUUUUGAACCGCAUGGUUCAAAAGUGAAAGACGGUCUUGCUGUCACUUAUAGAUGGAUCCGCGCUGCAUUAGCUAGUUGGUAAGGUAACGGCUUACCAAGGCAACGAUGCAUAGCCGACCUGAGAGGGUGAUCGGCCACACUGGAACUGAGACACGGUCCAGACUCCUACGGGAGGCAGCAGUAGGGAAUCUUCCGCAAUGGGCGAAAGCCUGACGGAGCAACGCCGCGUGAGUGAUGAAGGUCUUCGGAUCGUAAAACUCUGUUAUUAGGGAAGAACAUAUGUGUAAGUAACUGUGCACAUCCUGACGGUACCUAAUCAGAAAGCCACGGCUAACUACGUG